GACGAACGCUGGCGGCGCGCCUAACACAUGCAAGUCGAACGAGAGAUGAAGAGCUUGCUCUUCAAAUCGAGUGGCGAACGGGUGAGUAACGCGUGAGGAACCUGCCUCAAAGAGGGGGACAACAGUUGGAAACGACUGCUAAUACCGCAUAAGCCCACGGCUCGGCAUCGAGCAGAGGGAAAAGGAGCGAUCCGCUUUGAGAUGGCCUCGCGUCCGAUUAGCUAGUUGGUGAGGUAACGGCCCACCAAGGCGACGAUCGGUAGCCGGACUGAGAGGUUGAACGGCCACAUUGGGACUGAGACACGGCCCAGACUCCUACGGGAGGCAGCAGUGGGGAAUAUUGCACAAUGGGGGAAACCCUGAUGCAGCGACGCCGCGUGGAGGAAGAAGGUCUUCGGAUUGUAAAGCUCUAUCAGCAGGGAGAAGAAUGACGGUACCUGACUAAGAAGCACCGGCUAAAUACGUG
RNAcentral lists this ribosomal RNA (466 nucleotides) under uncultured bacterium. Its description in RNAcentral is "bacterial SSU rRNA". It matches the Rfam family "Bacterial small subunit ribosomal RNA", at positions 28 to 507 of the family's 1533-position model. The record is from RNAcentral.